Triticum aestivum (bread wheat) is the source of this 831-nucleotide long non-coding RNA. RefSeq lists it as uncharacterized. Lineage: Eukaryota; Viridiplantae; Streptophyta; Magnoliopsida; Poales; Poaceae. The record is from RefSeq and is a predicted model, not a curated record. The transcript has 2 exons.
CCCGAUGGUUUUUUACCAGCGCGUCGCGACCUCAAGCCACCAUCCACUAUGUACUUUCAGUUAAUUCCCACUAUCCCACACGUUCCAUAAGAUUACUUGAGGAGGCAUUUGAGCAACCGGCCGGACUAGUGACGUCGCCCAUAUUCAGAAGCCUAUCCCGAAGGUUCUCUUCAUCUUCCCUGAAUCAAUAUAUCUUCACAAAAUUUGCCUUCAAGGCUUCGAAUAAAAACAGUUUUCCUUCACAUCCUCGCCCCGAUGUACUUCACGAGGCGACUUCUCCCUAGCGGCGUCUGUGUAUGAAGAUGUGGCAGCGGCUUGAGGGAAUCAGGCGGCGGAGGCCUGGGGACGACAGGGCGGUUCCCUCACCUCACAGAAAAUCGAGUGUGCUCUUCCUCCCUCCCCUCUCGAGACUUGUGGCAGCUAUGGAGAGUGGGCACACAUCAGCACCGAAUGGAGGGCUUUAGCACUGGAUCGAGGCCAUCAGUCAUCACUACAAAUGGAGCAUUCAUCUGUACUUUCCACAGCCGCUGAUACCACCGCGCAGGUCAUAUGGUGCCUUGUAUUUGUGAUAUGAUUGAUUUCGUCUGAUUUUGGUUAAUUUGGCUAGUUUCUUCAAACUAUUUCUUGCAGGAAUUGUCAUAAUGGAAUGCGAAAUACUGGGACAAGUUUGCGUUUAUCUUCAUGAUAUAUGAGUCCAGGAGGACCGCCCGUGAGGUCUUAUCCGAGCUGAAGUUCUGCAUAUGUCCAUUCCAUUAGUUGAUUUCUGUAAUUGACGACAAGUAUGCCUGUUUGGGUUGUCAUCUCAACAAUCCUUCCAACAGUAUUUGGAUA